Molecule: ribosomal RNA, 332 nt
Filed under: Escherichia coli
Lineage: Bacteria; Pseudomonadati; Pseudomonadota; Gammaproteobacteria; Enterobacterales; Enterobacteriaceae
Also listed under: 1 other name
Description: bacterial SSU rRNA
Rfam family: Bacterial small subunit ribosomal RNA
Source: RNAcentral
GUUAAAACUCAAAUGAAUUGACGGGGGCCCGCACAAGCGGUGGAGCAUGUGGUUUAAUUCGAUGCAACGCGAAGAACCUUACCUGGUCUUGACAUCCACAGAACUUUCCAGAGAUGGAUUGGUGCCUUCGGGAACUGUGAGACAGGUGCUGCAUGGCUGUCGUCAGCUCGUGUUGUGAAAUGUUGGGUUAAGUCCCGCAACGAGCGCAACCCUUAUCCUUUGUUGCCAGCGGUCGGCCGGGAACUCAAAGGAGACUGCCAGUGAUAAACUGGAGGAAGGUGGGGAUGACGUCAAGUCAUCAUGGCCCUUACGACCAGGGCUACACACGUGCU